This is an RNA transcript of Hypanus sabinus (Atlantic stingray), 3712 nucleotides long. It is a transcript of the gene named FERM, RhoGEF and pleckstrin domain protein 2, with no coding region annotated. NCBI's taxonomy places the organism in Eukaryota, Metazoa, Chordata, Chondrichthyes, Myliobatiformes, Dasyatidae. The transcript has 28 exons. The record is from RefSeq and is a predicted model, not a curated record.
CGGGACGCAUCGCUCCUUCAAUGAGCAGGCGGUGCAGCUGGCGAGGAAGAUGGCGGCGGGGUGUGGGGAGCUGAGCUCCGUUGCAGUGUGAGACUACAUGUGUUGUCUGAAGGUGUGGGAUGGAGGAGAUGGAAGGAACAUACCGUGUUUUGCAGACUCCAGGAGCUCGACUUGGAACAGUGACAAAUGCAGCGGUUAGUACUCUGGAGCCCGGGCAGAGCCUCUCGAUCGGCACCACAUCAUCUAGUAAACUACGUGGCAGGGGGAUGCAGCUCACGGUUCAGUUGUUGGAUGAUGUGCAGGAACAGUUUGAAGUAGAGCAAAAAGCUUACGGGCAGGCCCUGAUGGAUGAAAUCUGCCAACGCCUGAACCUUGUUGAAAAUGAUUACUUUGGACUGGAGUUCCGGAACAAUCGGGGGAAUGAGAUUUGGCUUGAACCUGCAAAACCUAUUGUGAAACAAGUGCAAAGACCCAAGAACACGUUGUUCAGGCUUUGUGUUAAGUUUUUCCCCCCAGAUCCUGGUCAGCUGUUAGAGGAGUACACAAGGUACUUGUUUGCACUGCAGAUUAAGCGGGACCUGGCAGAGAACAAAAUAAUAUGCAGCGAGAACACAUCUGCACUCCUCAUCUCUCAUAUUUUGCAGUCUGAAAUUGGUGAUUGUGAUGAAGCUGUGGAUUUGGAUUACCUUAAGGAUCACAUACUCUUGCCAAACCAGCAAAUGCUUCAGGAAAAGAUUAUAGCCUUUCAUCAACAAAACAUAGGCCAGACUCCGGCUGAGUCAGAUUUCCAGGUUUUGGAGAUAGCUCGGAAGCUCGAGAUGUAUGGAAUUCGGUUUCAUCCAGCCACUGACAGAGAAGGGACGAAAAUCAAUCUGGCUGUAGCCCACAUGGGAGUGCUGGUAUUUCAGGGCAAUACAAAAAUAAACACCUUUAAUUGGGCGAAGAUCCGGAAGCUUAGUUUCAAGAGGAAAAGAUUCCUCAUCAAGCUCCACCCAGAGGUCCAUGAUUCCUACCAAGAUACGUUGGAAUUUCUUCUGCCCGACCGUGAUCUGUGUAAGAUUUUCUGGAAGAACUGUGUUGAGUAUCAUACUUUCUUCAGACUCAUGGACCAACCCAAGCCAAAGGCUAAGGCAAUUUUAUUCACCCGGGGAUCCUCCUUUAGAUACAGUGGAAGGACGCAGAAACAGCUGGUUGACUACAUGCGUGAGAGUGUGACAAAGACUCUCCCUUAUCAGAGGCGGCACAGCAGAGUACGAGGCCCAGCUCAGAUUAUGACCAAAGACGUGCCAAAACAGAGCUUGUCAUUCACAGGAGAUGUGGAGGUUCCAGGCUCUCCCUUUUCAGCUGCUGCUUCCUUUCAGUCCAUCCAGUCUGCGUGUAAGGUCGUUACAGACAGCCAGUCCAUCCACCGAGAUGAUGGCAACGUGCUCCUGAUCAAUAAGAAUACUCCUCAGAAAUCUCCAGUGGACAUGAAAAUGAGUCCAACGAUGGAAGAAACAUGGAAGACUUCCAGUCAGCCUUCACCAAUCUCCUUUCAAGGUGGUUUGGGUGGCAGUCUUCAGCUAUCCCCUCUUGCUACAAGGAGCACCCUCAAUGUAUUGGUUCCUGGAUCCCAGAUGUCUAACCUGAAUUUGCCUCCUCAGAUUCCAUCUCCAUUGCAAAGCCCGAUCCUCAGUGAUGUUGGCAGCACAAGGGCAGAUGAAGAUGAAGAAGACUGUCGAAAGCGUUAUCCGGCUGAUAAGGCAUUCUUUAUUGCCAAGGAAAUCCUGACCACAGAGAGGACCUAUCUGAAGGAUUUGGAAGUCAUCACUGUGUGGUUUCGUAGUGCUGUUAUCAAAGAGAAUGCAAUGCCACAAGGACUAAUGACUCUGCUGUUUUCCAAUAUUGACCCUAUUUAUGAAUUUCAUCGGGGAUUUCUGAAGGAGAUUGAACAGAGACUGGCUCUUUGGGAAGGACGGUCCAAUGCACAUGUGAAAGGAAAUUAUCAGAGAAUUGGUGAUAUCAUGCUUCGAAAUAUGUGCGUUCUUAAGGAAUUCACCAGCUACCUGCAGAAACAUGACGAGGUUCUCACAGAACUGGAGAAGGCCACCAAGCGGUCAAAGAAGCUAGAGAGUGUUUACAAAGAGUUUGAGCUGCAGAAAGUUUGUUAUCUUCCCCUAAAUACAUUCCUGCUGAAGCCAAUUCAGAGGCUGAUGCACUACAAGCUCAUCUUAGAGAGACUCUGCCAACAUUAUCGCCCUGACCAUCAGGAUUACGGAGAUUGUCAAGCUGCUCUGAAUGAGGUUCGAGAGAUGAGUGCUCAGCUGCACAGCAGUUUAAUUAGGCUGGAGAAUUUCCAGAAGCUCACAGAACUGCAACGGGACCUUAUUGGGAUAGACAACCUGAUUCUACCUGGAAGGAACUUCAUUCGGGAAGGUUGCCUGUAUAAACUUACAAGAAAAGGGCUCCAGCAAAGGAUGUUUUUCUUGUUUUCCGAUAUGUUGUUAUAUACCAGCAAAGGAGUAACGAGCAGCAACCAGUUUAAAGUACAUGGCCAGCUACUGUUAUAUGGGAUGAUUAUUGAGGAAAGUGAGAGUGAAUGGGCUGUCCCACAUUGUUUCACCAUAUACUCUGCACAGAAGACUGUUGUUGUAGCAGCAAGCUCCCGGAUAGAGAUGAGAAAGUGGAUUGAAGACCUGAGCAAAGCUAUUGAACUAGUGAAGAAAUCAAAUGAGAAGAGAGACCCAUUUCUGGAGAGCAGUAUCUAUGAUCGAUCAAACAGAUCUUCAGACGAGGCGUCGCUGGAGCAAGAAUCUGAAGAGGAUACUUACUCCUCCCACAGCUCGUUGGACAAGCAGACCCAUCACCGUGCCAAUACCACAGUGCACGUGUGCUGGCAUCGCAACACAAGUGUCUCCAUGCUGGAUCACAGUGUUGCAGUGGAGCAGAGCUUCCUCCACACUGUCCCGUGGCCUUGGGCCAGCAGCCCAACACCAUUACCCAUGUGUGCUGGUACCGGAACCAGAGCCUCUCACUGGCUGAUUAUCUCCGUAUGUUUGAGAACCAGCUCUCUGGUUAUCUGCUGCGGAAGUUCAAAAACAGCAAUGGGUGGCAAAAACUUUGGGUUGUCUUCACCAACUUCUGCCUCUUCUUCUACAAGACCCACCAGGAUGACUACCCUCUGGCCAGUCUUCCACUGUUGGGUUACUCAGUGAGCAUGCCUACCGACCGCGACCACAUCUACAAAGAUUAUGUCUUUAAACUGCACUUCAAAUCUCAUGUCUAUUUCUUCAGAGCAGAAAGCGAGUACACUUUUGAAAGGUGGAUGGAAGUUAUCAAAAGUGCAACCAAUUCACCAGGAUGGACAGCCCAUUGCAGCCAGAAGGAUACUUGAAUUGAGCUGCAAAAUUCUGAGUGUCGCCGUCUAGAACCUACAGAGUUCUGGAGGAUACAUUAGUACCAGGAGCACUUUGAAUGGAAGAAGUGGGAACUGGUUUCAAGGUGCACAAAGGAAUGGUCAAUUUGCUCUGACAACAAUGCAUCACCAAGUUGAACUGACAAAACAUGGACAAGCUGCAGUCGUGAAUAAGCCUGGUCACUCCUCAGAAAACAACUUCCUGCAUGUCUUAUUGUAUCAGUGGAAGAAUCAUUGUGAGGUUGGGGUGGGUUUAGACCUGGAGUUUAAGGAUUGAUUUUUGGAUUAAAUUAAUGAUGCUCUUGAUGGUUAAAGGUU